CUGAGAGAUGGUAGAUAGAUUUGAGCUCUUUUGAAUUCCCUCGUAAAAACAAACAUUGCAACUAGAUAACAAAGCCAAAACCAAACAAUAUAGAUAAACAAGACAACAGAGUAUCCUCACAAGCCUCAACAUACAAGUAGGUGGUGAAAACAAGUCAUCUGUAGUCACAAAUUCCCAUAAAUUCUCAUAACUGAUCCACUCGGGCUCCCUUCAAGUGCAAGGUCUCAUACUGAAGACAAACCGCUGGAAAGAAACAAAAUUGGGCAGCAUAGGAACAACUGAGAUGAAGGAAAAAAGGUCUAUAUAAAAGGGAGGAGGACAGAGCUGGGAACUGCCCCAAGCAAGCCAUCAGAGUUUUGCUAGUAUAUGAAAACAGCAGAAAAAGGAGCUCAAAAGAAGUUAGAAAGGGUAUCUGAACCAAAUCUUCAAAGAAGUCAUGAAAAUUAAAUCCACAUAAAAAUGAACAUUAGAAAACUAUUGAAGUCAAAUGCCAUAGAAGUAACUAUCAGAAAAGAUGACAAUAAGAAACAGAAUAACCCUGCAGGCAAAGAAACCAUGCUAGAAAGACGUUCUCAAGAUAUAUGCAGACUGAAGCAUACCAUUUCAAAAUGAGCUGAAAGACAUUAAAAAAAGAUACAAGAUAUGAAAAAACAACAAAAAUCUGAAUUAGGAAAACUCAGAAAUUAGCUGAUAUUGCUCAAAAAAGAAAGAAAAGAAAAAAUAUUUCAGAACUGAUGAAUGAACUAGAAGAGAAAACACAACACACAUACAGACACCAAACACGACAAAUAAUGCCUUAAGAGAAAAAGUAGACUAAAAGAUAAAAAAUAAAAUAAAAGGUUAAAAAUAAAAUGAAGAGAUAAAAAGGAUUUGAGAGAAAAUGACAAAUACUGAAGAUAUGAAGAGUCAACAUUCAGAUAUAGGAGUCCCUUAAAAAAACAGGAAAUCUAGGGAAUAGAAUAAAUAUUAAAAACUUGCUGAAAAUAUUGUUGUGAAAUAUACAUUAAAAGAGCACAUUGUUACCUGAGAAUAUCAAAGCAGAACAACCAAGACCAAGACAUAUUCUAGUAAAAUUACUAGACUUUUAAAGAAAAGAAAAAAUCCUUUGGGAAUCUGGGGAAAAGAGCAUAUAUUUUAUAAGGGCAUCAAAAUUAUAUUAUCAUCAGAUUUUUUUUAACAACAAUGCUUUAUGCCAAAAGAAACAAAGUAAUCUAUUUCAGGUACUUAAAUGGGUUAAAGCAUAAGUGAGAGAAAGAAAAUGAGUAAUUAUGAUAUAGUCUAAAUCUGUCAUUUCUUACGACCUUGAGACCCAGGAUUCUCUGGCUAGAAAAAAGGAGAUACAGAUGUAAAAUAAAAAAGGUUAAGUAACAAGCCUAUAAUCUUGAAUUUGUAAAAUCCUAAGAAAAAAUCACCAACCAUAGCAAAUAGCAACCCCAGUUUCCAGAGUAUUGUUUUGACAUACUAUUUUCUUUUUAAAAAACCAGGGCUUCUUCAAGAAAUGACUGAUUCCAGGUCUACAGUAGAAAAUGUACUAGAAUAUCUUGAAGUACUGUAUAGCAGAGAAACAAGCAAAGAUUACAAGGGUCAUGUCAAAGGGAUUCAGAAGUCAAAUUGAGGCUCUCGCUAGCCAUAGAUUGUAUAAAAGUUACAAUGGAUUGAAACCAACCAAAUGUGUUUAAAUUUCCCCACUGUACAUAGUUGUGUAUUCCACUUGUGAGUGCCUCUUGUUGUGCUAUAUGGGAUGCUGCCUCAACAAGACCUGAUGAGUGAUGCCGUGUCCCUGUCCAGGAUCUGAACCGGCGAAACCCUGGGCUGCCAAAGCAGAGCACACGAACAACUACUCAGCCAUGGGGCUGGCCCCUGGGUAUUGUUUUAAGGCACCAAGUUUGUGGUAAUUUGUUACAGCAGCCAUAGGAAACUAAUACAGUCACAAAUCAUUAUCUUAAAAACACAAAUAAAAGGAAAGAAGCAAGCAUUCAUUUCACCCUUCCUAAUGAACCAUGCUACUUGGUAAAUGAUAAAUGAGGGAGUGUAUUCUUAUAAAUUUAUUCCAACUAAUAAAUAAAAACAUUGGGAUACCACUAUUUUGCAAAUACCAGUGAAUUAAUGAAUCUAGA
Molecule: long non-coding RNA, 2117 nt
Filed under: Equus caballus (horse)
Lineage: Eukaryota; Metazoa; Chordata; Mammalia; Perissodactyla; Equidae
Description: lncRNA (ENSECAG00000043168.2)
Source: RNAcentral